GACGAACGCUGGCGGCGUGCUUAACACAUGCAAGUCGAACGGUAAGGCCCUUCGGGGUACACGAGUGGCGAACGGGUGGAGUAACACGUGGGUGAUCUGCCCUGCACUUCGGGAUAAGCCUGGGAAACUGGGUCUAAUACCGGAUAGGACCAUGGACUUCACGGUUUGUGGUGGAAAGCUUUUGCGGAGUGGGAUGGGCCCGCGGCCUAUCAGCUUGUUGGUGGGGUAAUGGCCUACCAAGGCGACGACGGGUAGCCGGCCUGAGAGGGUGUCCGGCCACACUGGGACUGAGAUACGGCCCAGACUCCUACGGGAGGCAGCAGUGGGGAAUAUUGCACAAUGGGCGCAAGCCUGAUGCAGCGACGCCGCGUGAGGGAUGACGGCCUCGGUU
This 391-nucleotide ribosomal RNA is filed under the name uncultured bacterium. RNAcentral describes it as "bacterial SSU rRNA". It matches the Rfam family "Bacterial small subunit ribosomal RNA", at positions 28 to 424 of the family's 1533-position model. The record is from RNAcentral.